Molecule: ribosomal RNA, 301 nt
Filed under: uncultured bacterium
Lineage: Bacteria
Description: partial 16S ribosomal RNA
Rfam family: Bacterial small subunit ribosomal RNA
Source: RNAcentral
CAGCCGCCGCGGUAAUACGAAGGGUGCAAGCGUUACUCGGAAUUACUGGGCGUAAAGCGCACGCAGGCGGUCUGUCAAGUCAGAUGUGAAAUCCCCGGGCUUAACCUGGGAACUGCAUUUGAAACUGGCAGGCUAGAGUCUUGUAGAGGGGGGUAGAAUUCCAGGUGUAGCGGUGAAAUGCGUAGAGAUCUGGAGGAAUACCGGUGGCGAAGGCGGCCCCCUGGACAAAGACUGACGCUCAGGUGCGAAAGCGUGGGGAGCAAACAGGAUUAGAUACCCGCGUAGUCCCUGUCUCUUAUAC